AUUUGAAAUCUGGCUUCGGCCCGAGUUGUAAUUUGCAGAGGAUGUUUCUGGCGCGGUGCCUUCCGAGUUCCCUGGAACGGGACGCCACAGAGGGUGAGAGCCCCGUAUGGUUGGACACUAAGCCUGUGUGAAACUCCUUCGACGAGUCGAGUAGUUUGGGAAUGCUGCUCUAAAUGGGAGGUAAAUCUCUUCUAAAGCUAAAUACCGGCCAGAGACCGAUAGCGCACAAGUAGAGUGAUCGAAAGAUGAAAAGCACCUUGAAAAGGGGGUUAAACAGUACGUGAAAUUGUUGAAAGGGAAGCGCUUGUGACCAGACUUGCGCCGGGCGGUUCAUCCGGGGUUCUCCCCGGUGCACUCCGCCCGGUUCAGGCCAGCAUCGGUUUUCGUUGGGGGAUAAGAACGGCAGGAACGUGGCCCUCCUUCGGGUGGGUGUUAUAGCCUGCCGUACGAUACCCUGGUGGGGACCGAGGUUCGCGCUCCGCAAGGAUGCUGGCGUAAUGGUCAUCAGCGACCCGUCUUGAAACACGGACCAAGGAGUCGUCCAUUAGAGCGAGCGUUUGGGUGUAAAACCCGCACGCGUAAUGAAAGUGAAAUUAGGUGAGAGCUUCGGCGCAUCAUCGACCGAUCCUGAUGUUCUCGGAUGGAUUUGAGUAAGAGUUUUAACGGACGGACCCGAAAGACAGUGAACUAUGCUUGUAUAGGGUGAAGCCAGAGGAAACUCUGGUGGAGGCUCGCAGCGGUUCUGACGUGCAAAUCGAUCGUCAAAUAUGAGCAUGGGGGCGAAAGACUAAUCGAACUGUCUAGUAGCUGGUUACCGCCGAAGUUUCCCUCAGGAUAGCAGUGUUGACCUUCAGUUUUAUGAGGUAAAGCGAAUGAUUAGGGACUCGGGGGCGCUUUUUAGCCUUCAUCCAUUCUCAAACUUUAAAUAUGUAAGAAGCCCUUGUUACUUAGUUGAACGUGGGCAUUCGAAUGUAUCAACACUAGUGGGCCAUUUUUGGUAAGCAGAACUGGCGAUGCGGGAUGAACCGAACGCGGGGUUAAGGCGCCAGAGUGUACGCUCAUCAGACACCACAAAAGGCGUUAGUACAUCUUGACAGCAGGACGGUGGCCAUGGAAGUCGGAAUCCGCUAAGGACUGUGUAACAACUCACCUGCCGAAUGUACUAGCCCUGAAAAUGGAUGGCGCUCAAGCGUACCGCCCAUACCCCGCCCUCAGGGUAGAAACGAUGCCCUGAGGAGUAGGCG
Molecule: ribosomal RNA, 1244 nt
Filed under: Amphilogia gyrosa
Lineage: Eukaryota; Fungi; Ascomycota; Sordariomycetes; Diaporthales; Cryphonectriaceae
Description: eukaryotic LSU rRNA
Rfam family: Eukaryotic large subunit ribosomal RNA
Source: RNAcentral